UCUCUCUCUCUCUCUCUCUCUCUCUCUCUCUCUCUCUCUCUCUCUCUCUCUCUCUCUCUCUCUCUCUCUCUCUCUCUCUCUCUCUGAUGAAGAAGAUGGCCUGUAGGAAUGGUAUAAAUAUCUACUACUUUA
Long non-coding RNA from Portunus trituberculatus (swimming crab), 132 nucleotides. RefSeq lists it as uncharacterized. NCBI's taxonomy places the organism in Eukaryota, Metazoa, Arthropoda, Malacostraca, Decapoda, Portunidae. The transcript has 2 exons. The record is from RefSeq and is a predicted model, not a curated record.